AGUCGAGCGGAAAGGUACUUGCUACUGAUCUUAGCGGCGGACGGGUGAGUAAUGCUUAGGAAUCUGCCUAUUAGUGGGGGACAACAUUUCGAAAGGAAUGCUAAUACCGCAUACGUCCUACGGGAGAAAGCAGGGGAUCUUCGGACCUUGCGCUAAUAGAUGAGCCUAAGUCGGAUUAGCUAGUUGGUGGGGUAAAGGCCUACCAAGGCGACAAUCUGUAGCGGGUCUGAGAGGAUGAUCCGCCACACUGGGACUGAGACACGGCCCAAACUCCUACGGGAGGCAGCAGUGGGGAAUAUUGGACAAUGGGCGCAAGCCUGAUCCACCCAUGCCGCGUGUGUGAAGAAGGCCUUAUGGUUGUAAAGCACUUUAAGCGAGGAGGAGGCUACUUUAGUUAAUACCUAGAGAUAGUGGACGUUACUCGCAAAAUAAGCACCGGCUAACUCUGUGCCAGCACCCGCGGUAAUACAGAGGGUGCAAGCGUUAAUCGGAUUUACUGGGCGUAAAGCGCGCGUAGGCGGCUAAUUAAGUCAAAUGUGAAAUCCCCGAGCUUAACUUGGGAAUUGCAUUCGAUACUGGUUAGCUAGAGUGUGGGAGAGGAUGGUAGAAUUCCAGGUGUAGCGGUGAAAUGCGUAGAGAUCUGGAGGAAUACCGAUGGCGAAGGCAGCCAUCUGGCCUAACACUGACGCUGAGGUGCGAAAGCAUGGGGAGCAAACAGGAUUAGAUACCCUGGUAGUCCAUGCCCGUAAAACGAAUGUCUACUAGCCCGUUGGGGCCUUU
This 780-nucleotide ribosomal RNA is filed under the name Acinetobacter calcoaceticus. RNAcentral describes it as "bacterial SSU rRNA". It matches the Rfam family "Bacterial small subunit ribosomal RNA", at positions 60 to 834 of the family's 1533-position model. The record is from RNAcentral. Lineage: Bacteria; Pseudomonadati; Pseudomonadota; Gammaproteobacteria; Moraxellales; Moraxellaceae.